CCUACGGGUGGCAGCAGUGGGGAAUAUUGCGCAAUGGGGGCAACCCUGAUGCAGCGACGCCGCGUGAGGGAAGAAGUCUCUCGGGAUGUAAACUUCUUUCAACAGGGACGAAAAAAGUGACGGUACCUGUGUAAGAAGCCACGGCUAACUACGUGCCAGCAGCCGCGGUAAUACGUAGGGGGCAAGCGUUAUCCGGAUUUACUGGGUGUAAAGGGCGCGUAGGCGGUAGUGCAAGUCAGAAGUGAAAGUCCAGGGCUCAACCCUCGAACUGCGUUGGAAACUGUUCUACUGGAGUGAAGGAGAGGCAGGCGGAAUGCCGAGUGUAGCGGUGAAAUGCGUAGAUAUACGGAGGAACACCAGUGGCGAAGGCGGCCUGCUGGACAUUAACUGACGCUGAGGCGCGAAAGCGUGGGGAGCAAACAGGAUUAGAUACCCGUGUAGUC
RNAcentral lists this ribosomal RNA (443 nucleotides) under uncultured bacterium. Its description in RNAcentral is "partial 16S ribosomal RNA". It matches the Rfam family "Bacterial small subunit ribosomal RNA", at positions 338 to 795 of the family's 1533-position model. The record is from RNAcentral.